Long non-coding RNA from Sander lucioperca (pikeperch), 79 nucleotides. RefSeq lists it as uncharacterized. The record is from RefSeq and is a predicted model, not a curated record. NCBI's taxonomy places the organism in Eukaryota, Metazoa, Chordata, Actinopteri, Perciformes, Percidae. The transcript has 3 exons.
UGAAUUCAUGUUGCACAGCGUUCGUUGUUCGACUGGUCGUGACUGCUUUCCCAAGACGGCGCCCGCCCGUAUACGUGAA